RNAcentral lists this ribosomal RNA (253 nucleotides) under uncultured bacterium. RNAcentral describes it as "partial 16S ribosomal RNA". It matches the Rfam family "Bacterial small subunit ribosomal RNA", at positions 524 to 776 of the family's 1533-position model. The record is from RNAcentral.
UACGUAGGGCGCGAGCGUUGUCCGGAAUUAUUGGGCGUAAAGAGCUCGUAGGUGGCUUGUUGCGUCUGCCGUGAAAGCCCGUGGCUUAACUACGGGUCUGCGGUGGAUACGGGCAGGCUAGAGGCUGGUAGGGGCAAGCGGAAUUCCUGGUGUAGCGGUGAAAUGCGCAGAUAUCAGGAGGAACACUGGUGGCGAAGGCGGCUUGCUGGGCCAGUUCUGACGCUGAGGAGCGAAAGCGUGGGGAGCGAACAGG